This 258-nucleotide ribosomal RNA is filed under the name uncultured Leptotrichia sp. Its description in RNAcentral is "partial 16S ribosomal RNA". It matches the Rfam family "Bacterial small subunit ribosomal RNA", at positions 96 to 354 of the family's 1533-position model. Lineage: Bacteria; Fusobacteriati; Fusobacteriota; Fusobacteriia; Fusobacteriales; Leptotrichiaceae. The record is from RNAcentral.
UGGCGGACGGGUGAGUAACGCGUAAAGAACUUGCCCUUUAGACUGGGAUAACAGAGGGAAACUUCUGAUAAUACUGGAUAAGUUAGUAUAUCGCAUGAUAUGCAAAUGAAAGCUACGGCACUAAAGGAGAGCUUUGCGUCCUAUUAGCUAGUUGGUAAGGUAAGAGCUUACCAAGGCGAUGAUAGGUAGCCGGCCUGAGAGGGUGGACGGCCACAAGGGACUGAGAUACGGCCCUUACUCCUACGGGAGGCAGCAGGG